Non-coding RNA from Glycine soja, 96 nucleotides. The record is from Rfam. Lineage: Eukaryota; Viridiplantae; Streptophyta; Magnoliopsida; Fabales; Fabaceae.
AUUGAGGGGAAUGUUGGCUGGCUCGAGGCUUUUCACAAAUGAGGUUCACAGUGGAUGGAACUAUAAGGCUUCGGACCAGGCUUCAUUCCCCUCAAA